RNAcentral lists this ribosomal RNA (700 nucleotides) under uncultured bacterium. RNAcentral's name for it is "bacterial SSU rRNA". It matches the Rfam family "Bacterial small subunit ribosomal RNA", at positions 94 to 824 of the family's 1533-position model. The record is from RNAcentral.
AGUGGCGGACGGGUGAGUAACACGUAAGAAUUUGCCUUUAGGAGGGGGACAACAGCUGGAAACGGCUGCUAAUACCCCAUAUGCUUUCGAGUGAAAUGGAUUUCCGCCUGAAGAGAAGCUUGCGGCUGAUUAGCUUGUUGGUGAGGUAAUGGCUCACCAAGGCGACGAUCAGUAUCUGGUUUGAGAGGACGAUCAGACACACUGGAACUGAGACACGGUCCAGACUCCUACGGGAGGCAGCAGUGGGGAAUUUUCCGCAAUGGGCGAAAGCCUGACGGAGCAAUACCGCGUGAGGGAUGAAGGCCUAUGGGUUGUAAACCUCUUUUUUCAGGGAGGAACAAAAUGACGUGUACCUGAAGAAUAAGCAUCGGCUAACUCCGUGCCAGCAGCCACGGUAAGACGGGGGAUGCAAGUGUUAUCCGGAAUCACUGGGCGUAAAGCGUCUGUAGGUGGUUAAGUAAGUCAACUUGUUAAAUCUUGAGGCUCAACCUCAAAAUCGCAGUCGAAACUGCUUGACUAGAGUAUAGUAGGGGUAAAGGGAAUUUCCAGUGGAGCAGUGAAAUGCGUAGAUAUUGGAAAGAACACCGAUGGCGAAGGCACUUUACUGGGCUAUUACUAACACUGAGAGACGAAAGCUAGGGUAGCAAAUGGGAUUAGAUACCCCAGUAGUCCUAGCUGUAAACAAUGGAUACUAGAUGUU